CUUCCCACUUUCUUCUGGCAAUAGGUGCUCCAGCAAUGCAGAGGGCAGCCAAGCUUGGCAGGAGAGGGAGUCAAUAAGGAACUCAAAGGAGGAGCAAAUCCCGGGGCCAAAGUCUCCCCAGCCAGCCCUGGCUGGCGGAGGUCCAGUGGACUUUGGGCAGCUACUGCUUAUUGGGCAGUCUCUAAGCCCCAGAGGGUCCCAGAAAGAAGGAGGAAGCAGCCAGAGGCAGACUGAUCGGAGCCCAGAGACUCAAGUGAACAAUGGAUGGCCACGUUUGACUAUGUCAUAGAAGGGAUUCUUGUUUGGGGAUGGAUCCACCUACAUGGCCUCUGGGGUACUAACUGAGAUUCUAAUCUACCCAACAAAUGAUUCUUCUGUGGGGAAACCAAUAACUAGAAGGAAACCAGCAGAUUUGAUGAGUCCAGAAAUAUUGGGAACCGCUACAUCCGGGAGAGACAAGGGCAAUCCUGAGGGAUGUCCCAUCAUAAUCAUGAUUUCCUCUCAAUAAAUAAGUACUUCUUGA
RNA transcript from Monodelphis domestica (gray short-tailed opossum), 523 nucleotides. RefSeq lists it as uncharacterized. The record is from RefSeq and is a predicted model, not a curated record. NCBI's taxonomy places the organism in Eukaryota, Metazoa, Chordata, Mammalia, Didelphimorphia, Didelphidae.